RNAcentral lists this long non-coding RNA (2326 nucleotides) under Brassica napus (rape). RNAcentral describes it as "long non-coding RNA (BNAP_LNC000083)". Lineage: Eukaryota; Viridiplantae; Streptophyta; Magnoliopsida; Brassicales; Brassicaceae. The record is from RNAcentral.
AACUUUAUUGAGUGGUUCCAUAAGUAAACAGUUUCAAGUGAAAGACAUGUUGUAUGGACCGACAGAUAAUCUCAAGCUGAGUUGAGUGGAGCACUGUAAUCCUGAGUUUCCCCUUCACGGUUCUGGAACACGAUCACGUAAAGCGCAUAGAUUAUCCCUGGGAUGUAGCCUAAGAUAGUCAACACCAAGCAUAUCAAGAACUCUACCUGCAACACCAAACAAAACCAGAGUGAACACAAAACCAUUCAAAACUCGGUUACCAAAACAAAAGGAAAAGGAGAACUCUUACAGUGCAACAGCCACGCUUGAGGCAGACUCCAAGAGGUGGAAGAAGGAUCGCUAUUAAGAUCUCGCAGAAAACUUCCAUAUUGCUUGCCAUUUUUUCUCAGAGAUGACAAGAAACUGUUAAAGAUUAUUUGAUCUUUUAUAAUGAAAUAAUGGAGAAGAGAGAACAUUAAAAGUUGCCUCUACAGGGAUCCAGUGAAGCGCAAUCCACGCUCCUGAAAAGUCAGCUACGAGAUCUUCACCGUUCAUUUAUCGAAAUUAAUUUUAAAUCGUGUGGCUUCCCAUAAGGAACUGAAUGAUUCGACUUGUUUCAGCAUCCUCAAGCAAUUCCUUCACUUGAUCACAGUUACAUUUCUUCACAAGAGACGAUUUUGUGUUCGCAAGUUACUCCCAUAACGUCUUCUUCUUGGUAAAGUAUGUAGAUAGAUCUGAAUCACCUUGCUUGAGCGUCAUCACUGCCUGUUCAAGUUGAUACUUCCGCGGUAGAUUAUUGACUUUGAAACCUGAACAAAUCAUCCCACAUCUCUGCUGCAUCUUCAUAGUAAAGAAUACUAUCAUAGAUCUCCUUAUUAACCACAUUCAAGAGCCACGAUUUCACCAUGCUAUUACAACGACUCCAUAUCUUGAAAUAGCGAUCAUCAACAGAAGGUCUAAUCAAAGAUCCGUCUACGAAACCUAACUUGUUCUUCGCAUCGAGACUAAUCUUCAUCGCAAUUGACCAGCUAUUGUAAUUCGUUCCAUCAAGAGUAUGAGAGACAAUAGAUAGACCUGGAUGAUCGGCGGAAUGAAGGAAGAAGGGACUAUGAGUACUAUCAUACGAUUCCGUUGGCAUCGGCGUCAAACUAACUCCGUCGCGAAUCACCGAGCAGCAAAAUUGUUGAUAUUUUGCGGAAAUUUCAUCAGGUUCAUCGCGAUUCGGUGUGAUUGAUCUCGUACGAACCUCAAAACCUUGAUCUUCAUCGUUGAAGUUCCGAUUCUUCAGUUUUACGCCACGCUUCACCAUUUCCGACCCGAUCGAGCUCAAAGGAGGAGAAUCAACCGGUAGAGAAUCGAUAUUGAGGUGAAUCGGAGCUGGAAAACACUCAGAGAAUCGAGAAAUCACGAAGAAUCAACAAGCGAAGCGAAAGAUCGCUCUGAUACCAUAUUAGAGAAACAGAAUCUGUUUGUGGAAAAUGAAUUCUAUUCUCAUUAACCGUCAAAUGUAGCUUACAUGGAGUUUAUAUACACUUGCGUUUAACCAUAGUAAACCACACAUAAUAGAAUUGAAUCUAAUCUACUCUAAACCGGACUAAACCGACCAUAUACAUUAAUAUUUUUCUCAGAAGAUGUACAACAAAACGUUUAAGAGAUAAAGACUUUUUAUCUUUAUUAUAAUGAAGUUUGACGGAGAUCUUGAAGAGACAGAACACUGAUAGUUGUUUGUGGUUACAAAGUCAAUAACGAGAUCUGAACCGUUCAUUUAUAGAUGUUUUUUAAUCGUACGGCUACUGUUUACUUCUCGUGGUAUCACUUCUAGAUACUCCUUUAUUUUUUCCAGCCUCCACGUGGAUUAUAUAAGUAACACGUACAGAGUAAUAUUGUGUAACGUAACACACACGAUCACUUCUAGAUAUUUUGAACUCUCCCCUCAACCGUGUGACAUGCGUAACUAGAGUGGGCCUAAAAGGCCCGUCUUAAGUUUAAAUCUGGACUUUGAUUACAAAAGAUUAUACAUGUGAUGAGAGAUCUGUGAUGCAUGUCCGUGCGUGCGUCGGUGCGUGCCAAUAGUGAAAGAAAUAAUCAGUACAUGAAAUUGCCAUACUUGAAUUACAUAUAACAAGGAAUCAGAUAAUUGCAACUUUAUUGAGUGGUUACAUAAGUAAACAGUUUCAAGUGAAAGACAUGUUGUAUGGACCGACAGAUAAUCUCAAGCUGAGUUGAGUGGAGCACUGUAAUCCUGAGUUUCCCCUUCACGGUUCUGGAACACGAUCACGUAAAGCGCAUAGAUUAUCCCUGGGAUGUAGCCUAAGAUAGUCAACACCAAGCAUAUCAAGAACUCUAC